GACGGAAGGUGCAAGCGUUGCUCGGAAUCAUUGGGCGUAAAGGGUGCGUAGGCGGCCGUGCAAGUCUGGCGUGAAAGCCCCGGGCUCAGCCCGGGAAGUGCGCUCGAAACUGCGCGGCUCGAGUGCCGGAGGGGAGAGUGGAAUUCCUGGUGUAGCGGUGAAAUGCGUAGAUAUCAGGAGGAAUACCGGUGGCGAAAGCGACUCUCUGGACGGCAACUGACGCUGAGGCACGAAAGCGUGGGGAGCAAACAGG
This 253-nucleotide ribosomal RNA is filed under the name uncultured bacterium. RNAcentral's name for it is "partial 16S ribosomal RNA". It matches the Rfam family "Bacterial small subunit ribosomal RNA", at positions 524 to 776 of the family's 1533-position model. The record is from RNAcentral.